This 794-nucleotide ribosomal RNA is filed under the name uncultured bacterium. RNAcentral's name for it is "bacterial SSU rRNA". It matches the Rfam family "Bacterial small subunit ribosomal RNA", at positions 59 to 841 of the family's 1533-position model. The record is from RNAcentral.
CAGUCGAACGGAGUUAUCAUUUCAGAAGCAAUUAGCUUGCUGAGAGUGGAAGAGAGGAUAACUUAGUGGCGGACGGGUGAGUAACGCGUGGGGAACCUGCCCUGCACCGGGGGAUAACACCUGGAAACAGGUGCUAAUACCGCAUAAGCGCACGAGGCCGCAUGGCCAGGUGUGAAAAACUAAGGUGGUGCAGGAUGGACCCGCGUCUGAUUAGCUUGUUGGUAGGGUAACGGCCUACCAAGGCGACGAUCAGUAGCCGGCCUGAGAGGGUGAACGGCCACAUUGGGACUGAGACACGGCCCAAACUCCUACGGGAGGCAGCAGUGGGGAAUAUUGGACAAUGGGGGAAACCCUGAUCCAGCGACGCCGCGUGAGUGAAGAAGUAUUUCGGUAUGUAAAGCUCUAUCAGCAGGGAAGAAAAUGACGGUACCUGACUAAGAAGCCCCGGCUAACUACGUGCCAGCAGCCGCGGUAAUACGUAGGGGGCAAGCGUUAUCCGGAUUUACUGGGUGUAAAGGGAGCGUAGACGGCAUAGCAAGUCUGAUGUGAAAGAUCGGGGCUCAACCCCGGGCCUGCAUUGGAAACUGUUAAGCUGGAGUACAGGAGAGGUAAGCGGAAUUCCUAGUGUAGCGGUGAAAUGCGUAGAUAUUAGGAGGAACACCAGUGGCGAAGGCGGCUUACUGGACUGUAACUGACGCUGAGGCGCGAAAGCGUGGGGAGCAAACAGGAUUAGAUACCCUGGUAGUCCACGCCGUAAACGAUGGAUACUAGGUGUGGGAGGUAUUGACCCCUUC